RNAcentral lists this small RNA (830 nucleotides) under Histoplasma capsulatum var. duboisii H88. Its description in RNAcentral is "Histoplasma capsulatum H88 hypothetical RNA". Lineage: Eukaryota; Fungi; Ascomycota; Eurotiomycetes; Onygenales; Ajellomycetaceae. The record is from RNAcentral.
CCCUACAAGCUCUAUCUCGGUCACCGUCUCGUACCCAAUCAUUCUCCCGUUGCAACCGCUUCAGCUGGCUAAUCCUCCAUUACUUGAUCCCGGCUGAAUAUGGAACAGGCGACAGGUCAGAAGCUAGGACGGGUCUUGUCAAACAACUUUCUAGCGGUGACGCUGGCAAAAAUUGCCUCUGGAACUUAACUGUGCAUACAUAUCCCCUCACAAAAUGGGGCGACCACUCUUAGUGAGUUAGCCAAUCUAAGGAAAUCGAUAUCCAAUUCUGUCGUGUUUGGAUAUUCAAUUUCCCGGCAGUCUAACAGCGGCCUGACCAGUCGAAAGACCUAUUCAACUCUGAUGAUGCGUUCGUACUCAUCAUACAGGUCUCCAAUAGAAAAUUGUCACGUAUUUAACGAUGCUACUCCAGAGUUUUUCGCGUUUCUUUGAAAAUAUUACACCUUAUAAAGGAAUAAAUUGGGCCCCACCCAAGCUUCAGGCCCGGGGAAUGUGGCCAUCCCCAUGAUAACUACUGUCUAAACUCCGACAACAAUUUAUUGGGCGAUUGGCUAAAACAUGUCUCUAGUUUGGUGUCAGUGUUGGGCGAGUACCUGUGCAACGGAUGGCAAGCCAGCGCAGUUCUCCAGCUAGUUUGUCUCGCUGUACUUUUCCAUGCAUCGUUAUUAUGAUGUCUGUUUGUAAUUACUCUCAAAACUAAUAAUAACGAUGCGUGGGUCACAGCAUCGUGGAGGACUGGGAAUGCUCUAAUUUACUGGAUGCUUUUGGGUUCAGCUAUUGGAUCGCACCAUAUCCCGCCGGUUGAGCGAGUACCCAUUUUCAACAAAAAA